AUUGAACGCUGGCGGCAGGCCUAACACAUGCAAGUCGAAUGGUAACAGGAAACAGCUUGCUGUUUCGCUGACGAGUGGCGGACGGGUGAGUAAUGUCUGGGAAACUGCCUGAUGGAGGGGGAUAACUACUGGAAACGGUAGCUAAUACCGCAUAACGUCGCAAGACCAAAGAGGGGGACCUUCGGGCCUCUUGCCAUCAGAUGUGCCCAGAUGGGAUUAGCUAGUAGGUGGGGUAACGGCUCACCUAGGCGACGAUCCCUAGCUGGUCUGAGAGGAUGACCAGCCACACUGGAACUGAGACACGGUCCAGACUCCUACGGGAGGCAGCAGUGGGGAAUAUUGCACAAUGGGCGCAAGCCUGAUGCAGCCAUUCCGCGUGUAUGAAGAAGGCCUUCGGGUUGUAAAGUACUUUCAGCGGGGAGGAAGGGAGUAAAGUUAAUACCUUUGCUCAUUGACGUUACCCGCAGAAGAAGCACCGGCUAACUCCGUG
RNAcentral lists this ribosomal RNA (490 nucleotides) under uncultured bacterium. Its description in RNAcentral is "partial 16S ribosomal RNA". It matches the Rfam family "Bacterial small subunit ribosomal RNA", at positions 30 to 507 of the family's 1533-position model. The record is from RNAcentral.